GUGCCAGCAGCCGCGGUAAUACCAGCUGCACAAGUGUAUAUUAAAGUUGUUGCAGUUAAAAAGCUCGUAGUUGGAUAUCUGUCUGGACUGAUCUAGCCCUGCGGCUUUUGCUGCGGUGUGCUGGUUUGUGUUGACCUCGUGCUUCGGCGCGGCGUGUCGGCCAUCAUGUCGGACAUCCUUCAGGAGAACUAUCCUGUCAUUGAUUUGAUUGGGGUAAGGAUCCUGAUCGUUUACUUCGAAAAAACUUGAGUGUUUAACGCAGGCUUUGUGUCGCGAAUAGAUUAGCAUGGAAUAAUAAGAUAGGACUUCGGCAUCGUGCGUAGUUGCCUUGGAUCAGCUGGCUCUUGCUCCGUUUCGGCGAGUGUGAGGCGUGGCCCUUGGAAUACGGCUGCGUGCUGUUCAUUUUGUUGGUUUCUAGAGCUGAAGUAAUGAUUGAUAGGGAUAGUUGGGGGUGCUC
This 457-nucleotide ribosomal RNA is filed under the name uncultured eukaryote. RNAcentral's name for it is "bacterial SSU rRNA". It matches the Rfam family "Eukaryotic small subunit ribosomal RNA", at positions 564 to 893 of the family's 1831-position model. The record is from RNAcentral.